This is a long non-coding RNA of Nicotiana attenuata, 610 nucleotides long. RefSeq lists it as uncharacterized. The record is from RefSeq and is a predicted model, not a curated record. The transcript is spliced from 2 exons. Lineage: Eukaryota; Viridiplantae; Streptophyta; Magnoliopsida; Solanales; Solanaceae.
AUUUAGAGAUUAGAAUACUAAAAAAGGAACAAAAACGGCUGAGCCUUCAUACUCUAAAAAAUCCAGAAAAAACUUUGCAUUGUUUUGGUUCAAAAUUGCUGGAAUUUGUUCUCUGAUUUCAUUGUAUGCUUUGGACCUCAAAAUGACAUGUUGAAAUUGGCAAUGAGAACGUUGAUGACACACUGUUUCAUUGCAAUCUAUUCUAUAUUACUCAAUUCUGUAUUUAUUUAGUUUUUCUUUUAUGUGUUUAUGUGUUCAUUAUGCUGUUAUUGUUGAAGCUCAUUUGUAAGUUGAACAAGUAACUUAGUCUAGCAUGUUUUGAUUUGUGAAUUGGUGAGAGUCUUGUUAGAUAUGUUCAGUUGUGCUUUAGACUGUUGGGUUUAGUGUUGAGUAUUAUGUUCAAAAGCUAUGGUAUUUGAGAAUGUUUGGUGAAUGAUUGAACCAUACGUAAAGGAUUGAAUGGGAAUCCUUAGUUGGAUUUCAACAUUAUCUAGAAUUGAGGUAGUGAAUGUUUGGUUUAUAGUUGGUGUGUAAUUGAUGGGUGCAUAUGUGAGCUUGGUGGUUCUGUUUUUGUUUUGAAAAGGAGAAGAAACAUGCUCUUGUGUUCUCA